AGCAGCCGCGGUAAUUCCAGCUCCAAUAGCGUAUAUUAAAGUUGUUGCAGUUAAAAAGCUCGUAGUUGAACUUCGGGGUUUACCCAUUGGUCAGGCUUAAUUGUCUGCACUGGUGAGAUGAAUCUCUACCUUCUGAGGAACUUUCAUGCCAUUCAUUUGGUGUGAUGGGAAAUCAGGACUGUUACUUUGAAAAAAUUAGAGUGUUUAAAGCAGGCUAACGUCUGAAUACAUUAGCAUGGAAUAAUGAAAUAGGACGGACUGAUUCUAUUUCGUUGGUUUCUAGGAUCACCGUAAUGAUUAAUAGGGAUAGUUGGGGGCAUUAGUAUUCAAUUGUCAGAGGUGAAAUUCUUGGAUUUAUUGAAGACUAACUACUGCGAAAGCAUUUGCCAAGGAUGUUUUCAUUAAUCAAGAACGAAAGUUAGGGGAUCGAAGACGAUCAGAUACCGUCGUAGUCUUAACCAUAAACUAUGCCGACUAGGGAUCGGACGAAGUUAAUUUUAUAAUGACGCGUUCGGCACCUUACG
This 524-nucleotide ribosomal RNA is filed under the name uncultured Diversisporaceae. RNAcentral describes it as "SSU rRNA". It matches the Rfam family "Eukaryotic small subunit ribosomal RNA", at positions 569 to 1092 of the family's 1831-position model. The record is from RNAcentral. Lineage: Eukaryota; Fungi; Glomeromycota; Glomeromycetes; Diversisporales.